GGGCCUAUAGCUCAAAGGAUUAGAGCAUGUGGCUGCAAACCUUGGUGUCAAGGGUCAUUUUUGGAUCUAGACCAAAUAGGUUCA
This 84-nucleotide transfer RNA is filed under the name Eucalyptus grandis. It matches the Rfam family "tRNA". Rfam says of the family: Transfer RNA (tRNA) molecules are approximately 80 nucleotides in length. Their secondary structure includes four short double-helical elements and three loops (D, anti-codon, and T loops). Further hydrogen bonds mediate the characteristic L-shaped molecular structure. tRNAs have two regions of fundamental functional importance: the anti-codon, which is responsible for specific mRNA codon recognition, and the 3' end, to which the tRNAs corresponding amino acid is attached (by aminoacyl-tRNA synthetases). tRNAs cope with the degeneracy of the genetic code in two manners: having more than one tRNA (with a specific anti-codon) for a particular amino acid; and 'wobble' base-pairing, i.e. permitting non-standard base-pairing at the 3rd anti-codon position. The record is from Rfam by way of RNAcentral. Lineage: Eukaryota; Viridiplantae; Streptophyta; Magnoliopsida; Myrtales; Myrtaceae.